GACGAACGCUGGCGGCGUGCCUAAUACAUGCAAGUAGAACGCUGAAGGAGGAGCUUGCUUCUCUGGAUGAGUUGCGAACGGGUGAGUAACGCGUAGGUAACCUGCCUGGUAGCGGGGGAUAACUAUUGGAAACGAUAGCUAAUACCGCAUAAUAUUGACUAUUGCAUGAUAGUCAGUUGAAAGGUGCAACUGCACCACUACCAGAUGGACCUGCGUUGUAUUAGCUAGUUGGUGGGGUAACGGCUCACCAAGGCGACGAUACAUAGCCGACCUGAGAGGGUGAUCGGCCACACUGGGACUGAGACACGGCCCAGACUCCUACGGGAGGCAGCAGUAGGGAAUCUUCGGCAAUAGACGGAAGUCUGACCGAGCAACGCCGCGUGAGUGAAGAAGGUUUUCGGAUCGUAAAGCUCUGUUGUAAGAGAAGAACGAGUGUGAGAGUGGAAAGCUCACACUGUGACGGUAUCUUACCAGAAAGGGACGGCUAACUACGUG
This 495-nucleotide ribosomal RNA is filed under the name uncultured bacterium. RNAcentral describes it as "partial 16S ribosomal RNA". It matches the Rfam family "Bacterial small subunit ribosomal RNA", at positions 28 to 507 of the family's 1533-position model. The record is from RNAcentral.